CAGUCGCCGCGGGAACACGAAGGGUGCAAGCGUUAAUCGGAAUUACUGGGCGUAAAGCGUGCGUAGGCGGCUUCUUAAGUCGGAUGUGAAAUCCCUGAGCUUAACUUAGGAAUUGCAUUCGAUACUGGGAAGCUAGAGUAUGGGAGAGGAUGGUAGAAUUCCAGGUGUAGCGGUGAAAUGCGUAGAGAUCUGGAGGAAUACCGAUGGCGAAGGCAGCCAUCUGGCCUAAUACUGACGCUGAGGUACGAAAGCAUGGGGAGCAAACAGGAUUAGAUACCCCAGUAGUCCCUGUCUCUUAUAC
RNAcentral lists this ribosomal RNA (301 nucleotides) under uncultured bacterium. RNAcentral's name for it is "partial 16S ribosomal RNA". It matches the Rfam family "Bacterial small subunit ribosomal RNA", at positions 509 to 807 of the family's 1533-position model. The record is from RNAcentral.